UGGUGAUGAUGAAUUUUAUUCCUACAUUCGCGGUUUCCACCAGAAGAACAGCUCGAGUUCUGAAGAUGGCCUCUGUCCUUCCUUGGAUGUCUGAACCA
Molecule: small nucleolar RNA, 98 nt
Organism: Physella acuta
Lineage: Eukaryota; Metazoa; Mollusca; Gastropoda; Physidae
Product: small nucleolar RNA SNORD14
Source: RefSeq, a predicted model, not a curated record